This 469-nucleotide ribosomal RNA is filed under the name uncultured bacterium. RNAcentral describes it as "bacterial SSU rRNA". It matches the Rfam family "Bacterial small subunit ribosomal RNA", at positions 28 to 507 of the family's 1533-position model. The record is from RNAcentral.
GACGAACGCUGGCGGCGUGCCUGACACAUGCAAGUCGGACGGUUCUUGCACCUUCAAGCUUGCUUGUUGGUUCAAGGAUAGUGGCGGACGGGUGAGUAACGCGUGAACACCUACCCAUUGGAGGGGUACAACCCGUCGAAAGGCGGGCUAAUACCGCGUAAGCCGUGAGGUGAAAGGCUGCUCUUUGGUGGCUGCCGAUGGAUGGGUUCGCGUCCUAUCAGCUGGUUGGUGGGGUAACGGCCUACCAAGGCUAAGACGGGUAGCCGGUCUGAGAGGAUGGCCGGCCACACUGGAACUGAGACACGGUCCAGACUCCUACGGGAGGCAGCAGUGGGGAAUCUUGGGCAAGUGGGGGAGACCCUGACCCAGCGACGCCGCGUGAGGGAUGAAGGUUUUCGGAUCGUAAACCUCUGUUGUACGGGAAGAAGGAUGUGACGGUACCGUACGAGUAAGCCCGGCAAACUACGUG